This 1301-nucleotide long non-coding RNA is filed under the name Jatropha curcas. RNAcentral describes it as "long non-coding RNA (JCUR_LNC001189)". The record is from RNAcentral. Lineage: Eukaryota; Viridiplantae; Streptophyta; Magnoliopsida; Malpighiales; Euphorbiaceae.
UGAAACUUGAAAGAGAAAGAGAUAAGGGUAAUAUCGGAAGUAAAAAGAAAUAGAUAAAGGUAAAGAGAAAAAGGGGACAGAGGUUGCUUGCGCAAAUCUAGCUAAUCUGGGCCUCUUUUGCAAGGAAAGUAUACGAGUGAAACCGGGCGUUUAAGGGGCAAAAGAAAUUGAACCCGUACAAAAACAAACAAACACACCAUUUUCUCUCAUUCCCACAUUUUCACUUCGGCCUCAUUAUGUUUACUGUUUAGAGUUUAGACAACAUACAUUCACUGUAACCCUGUAGAUAUACACACACACCCAAACCCCUUCUUCUUCUGUUCUUCAUCCUCUUCCUCACUUUCUUUCACUUUUCCUUCUUUUUUAUUAUUUUCAUUUCACAGAUAAAACAAACAAAAACCCACUUCAAAAACAAGAAAUAAUCCCAUUCCCAUUUGUUUUCUUUCAUUUCAUUUUACCAUUUCACCAUUUUGCACCUACUCACCGAUUCUUCUUCGCUUCUUCUUUUUUGGUUAUAUGAUGAUAGGGUUAUGGCGGUUGUGUUGUUGGUGCCGCCGGUGGCUGUGCUGGUGGAAGAUGGUGGAAGCUGAUAUCACGUGGGACACUGAAGCAUGUUUUGUCUUUUUCUUGUUAAAGAAAAUGGGUAUUUUGGGGUCACAUGAAAGCUUAGCCGGAUAUUCAAGAAAACCCAUUUAUGUUCUCCAAUAAUUGGUGGCGGUGGGUGGUGGUUGGCGGUGGUGAUAUUGGCUGGACGGCUCAAUCUUUUUAAUUCUUGUUAUGAUAUAUAUAUAUAGGAAUUAAGCAAUUAAAUCUUUUUUUGUUUUUUUGGGUUCUUGUUAUCAGUUUUGGUUACUAAUACUAGCUGAUAAUGCUUAUAAGAUCUUGAAUUUCCUGGAAGUGAUUACACUAAUUAAUCUUGAUUCUUGAAGCAAAACCAACAAUGAUCCAUUUUGAGAGAGAAAGGUAGUAAAUGUGAUUGCACCUCGCAGAGCAGCAAAGGGCAAAGGGUUGGUGGGCAACAGCCUUUAAUUUUUUGGGGUCCCCUGUAGAAAAAGGGAUUGCAGACUUCAAUGUUUCAACACUACUGUUUUAUUAUCGAUUCAAAAUCACUGUCAGUAGUCUUUUGCUUCUGUCCCCUUUAUUAAUUAAUUCAUUGUUACUAUUAUUCUUGGAAAAUGUGGAGCUUAAUAUUUAUUUAUAUUUAAAUCCUCUAGUAAUUGUCAUGUCAUCUUCAUCAAUGUAUGUACUGUUUUUUUUUACUUCAAGAAAAUAUAAUCAGUAAAAGUUAUACUUUAUUGGAU